UGCAGUCGAGCGGACAGAAGGGAGCUUGCUCCCGGAUGUUAGCGGCGGACGGGUGAGUAACACGUGGGUAACCUGCCUGUAAGACUGGGAUAACUCCGGGAAACCGGAGCUAAUACCGGAUAGUUCCUUGAACCGCAUGGUUCAAGGAUGAAAGACGGUUUCGGCUGUCACUUACAGAUGGACCCGCGGCGCAUUAGCUAGUUGGUGGGGUAAUGGCUCACCAAGGCGACGAUGCGUAGCCGACCUGAGAGGGUGAUCGGCCACACUGGGACUGAGACACGGCCCAGACUCCUACGGGAGGCAGCAGUAGGGAAUCUUCCGCAAUGGACGAAAGUCUGACGGAGCAACGCCGCGUGAGUGAUGAAGGUUUUCGGAUCGUAAAGCUCUGUUGUUAGGGAAGAACAAGUGCGAGAGUAACUGCUCGCACCUUGACGGUACCUAACCAGAAAGCCACGGCUAACUACGUGCCAGCAGCCGCGGUAAUACGUAGGUGGCAAGCGUUGUCCGGAAUUAUUGGGCGUAAAGGGCUCGCAGGCGGUUUCUUAAGUCUGAUGUGAAAGCCCCCGGCUCAACCGGGGAGGGUCAUUGGAAACUGGGAAACUUGAGUGCAGAAGAGGAGAGUGGAAUUCCACGUGUAGCGGUGAAAUGCGUAGAGAUGUGGAGGAACACCAGUGGCGAAGGCGACUCUCUGGUCUGUAACUGACGCUGAGGAGCGAAAGCGUGGGGAGCGAACAGGAUUAGAUACCCCUGGUAGUCCACGCCGUAAACGAUGAGUGCUAAGUGUUAGGGGGUUUCCGCCCCUUAGUGCUGCAGCUAA
RNAcentral lists this ribosomal RNA (817 nucleotides) under Bacillus pumilus. RNAcentral's name for it is "bacterial SSU rRNA". It matches the Rfam family "Bacterial small subunit ribosomal RNA", at positions 56 to 855 of the family's 1533-position model. Lineage: Bacteria; Bacillati; Bacillota; Bacilli; Caryophanales; Bacillaceae. The record is from RNAcentral.